UGGGGGAUAUUGCACAAUGGGCGAAAGCCUGAUGCAGCGACGCCGCGUGGGGGAUGAAGGCCUUCGGGUUGUAAACUUCUUUUGCUCUGAACAAGGCAUGCCUUUGGGGUGUGUUGAGUGUAGGGGUUGAUUAGCGCCGGCUAACUACGUGCCAGCAGCCGCGGUAAUACGUAGGGCGCGAGCGUUGUCCGGAAUUAUUGGGCGUAAAGGGCUUGUAGGUGGCUGGUUGCGUCUGUCGUGAAAGCUCAUGGCUUAACUGUGGGUUUGCGGUGGGUACGGGCUGGCUUGAGUGCAGUAGGGGAGGCUGGAAUUCCUGGUGUAGCGGUGGAAUGCGCAGAUAUCAGGAGGAAUACCGGUGGCGAAGGCGGGUCUGUGGGCCGUUACUGACACUGAGGAGCGAAAGCGUGGGGAGCGAACAGG
Molecule: ribosomal RNA, 420 nt
Filed under: Fusobacteriota bacterium
Lineage: Bacteria; Fusobacteriati; Fusobacteriota
Description: Fusobacteria bacterium partial 16S ribosomal RNA
Rfam family: Bacterial small subunit ribosomal RNA
Source: RNAcentral